Molecule: ribosomal RNA, 245 nt
Filed under: uncultured Eubacteriales bacterium
Lineage: Bacteria; Bacillati; Bacillota; Clostridia; Eubacteriales
Description: uncultured Clostridiales bacterium partial 16S ribosomal RNA
Rfam family: Bacterial small subunit ribosomal RNA
Source: RNAcentral
CUAGCCGUAAACGAUGGGUACUAGGUGUAGGAGGUUUCGAUACCUUCUGUGCCGCAGUUAACGCAAUAAGUACCCCGCCUGGGGAGUACGUGCGCAAGCAUGAAACUCAAAGGAAUUGACGGGGGCCCGCACAAGCGGUGGAGCAUGUGGUUUAAUUCGAAGCAACGCGAAGAACCUUACCAGGUCUUGACAUCCCUUGACCACCUCAGAGAUGAGGUUUCUCUUCGGAGCAAGGAGACAGGUGG